This is a non-coding RNA of Macaca mulatta (Rhesus monkey), 754 nucleotides long. The record is from RefSeq and is a predicted model, not a curated record. NCBI's taxonomy places the organism in Eukaryota, Metazoa, Chordata, Mammalia, Primates, Cercopithecidae.
AGGCCCAGUGCUGCUCAUACUCUGCCCUUGUCUCAGCCUUCAGGGCACCCCAAGUUUGCUGUGCUCUAAGAAAUGGGGGCAACUCUCCCCACUCAGAGCCUGACCACAUAGCAGAGGGAAAUCUUCCCAGCUUCCUCCUCCAGAAAACCAGCACACAGACCCUCUUCUCCUUAAGGAUUUUACUGCUACUUACUAAAGAGAAGUAGAAAAGACCACAACAAGCAACACAUCUAGGAGUGUUAAAAACACCCCAGCAGAAAAUUAAGACCAGAUGAACCAGCCCACUCCUGACCCCAAGCUCUUCUUACCAUCUACAUCCUCCAGUGGAUAUAAAGAGGAAAUGAAGGCAGGUGACAGCUCCCUCACCUCAGGUGGACACUUUGCAAUCUCUGAGCACCUCAUCCUAUUGAUAGUUUUGUACCCUCCAGGAAUGAUCAUCUUGGAGUGUCACCUUUCAAAGGGACACAGAGUCAAGUGCCUUGGGGGCCAGGCAGGUGGUGUAUAUGAGUGCAAGUGAAGAAAAACCAACUCUAAUUUCCAGAGCGGGAGAAAACCCAUGUGGACCGAGGUCAUCAGAAGCACACCUGUCCUUGCAAGCAUGAAACCUAAUUGCCACAUCUGCUGAUAUUUUUUUCAAGAGAAGUCCAAAAUUCACAGAUUACAAUAUGAAAUCUCUAAAUCUUUUAAUUGACAAAAAAGAUUAACAGGUUAAUUAAUUGACAAAAAGUACAAAAAUUAAAACAAUCAAUCAAUA